Non-coding RNA from Vicugna pacos (alpaca), 97 nucleotides. NCBI's taxonomy places the organism in Eukaryota, Metazoa, Chordata, Mammalia, Artiodactyla, Camelidae. The record is from RefSeq and is a predicted model, not a curated record.
AAUAAAUUCAGGAAAGACCACAUCAAUGCUUUUCAAACUCUAGUACCCUGGGUGCUUGUUAAGAAAUCUCUGAGGUCCCGGGAUGGGAAGAGCACAC